UAUGAUUACAAGCUGUAGACAGCAAGACGCUGGCGUUGAAGGAAUCGUGUAUCUUUUGCGAGAAUUUCAUGAGGAUGCAGAGCAAACAUGACUGGCCAAAAGAGGACCUGGCAGCAAGUCAAAAUCAAGUACAAGAACAUCUUGCAGACUGCAGUAAAAAAAAGGACACAUAGGUCUGGCACAGGGGGUGGCCCAGCUACCCCAGAAUUUACCCCAGCAGAGGAGGUGGCCCUUGACCUGAACAAAGGGAGGCCUAUAAUUGAAGGAAUCCAGGGUGGGACCUCCACCGACUCUGUCCCACCCACAGAAAGCGCCCACUUCAUACAAGGGUGAAGGCACAUCUGCUGCACAAGACGAGGAGGAAACAAUUUCAGUGGAUUCAAGAAGACAGGAGAACCCAGACAAUGUGCAGGCCGACACUCAGCCUGCCAACAUCAGUUCCCAAACAGUCAGGUCCCUGUACACAACACACCUACAGAAACAAAUAGAUUUGGCAGAGAUAAAAAUUCAAUUAAAGAAACGAAAAAUGCAGGAAAUGGACCUCGAUAUGCAAAUCAAAAGACAAACCUUGAGGAAACUGGAUUUGGAAAUCAAGAAA
This is a long non-coding RNA of Perca fluviatilis (European perch), 598 nucleotides long. RefSeq lists it as uncharacterized. The transcript has 6 exons. The record is from RefSeq and is a predicted model, not a curated record. Lineage: Eukaryota; Metazoa; Chordata; Actinopteri; Perciformes; Percidae.